This 86-nucleotide transfer RNA is filed under the name Fusibacter bizertensis. Its description in RNAcentral is "tRNA-Leu". It matches the Rfam family "tRNA". Rfam says of the family: Transfer RNA (tRNA) molecules are approximately 80 nucleotides in length. Lineage: Bacteria; Bacillati; Bacillota; Clostridia; Eubacteriales; Fusibacteraceae. The record is from RNAcentral.
GCGAGUGUGCUGGAAUGGCAGACAGGUACGACUCAGAAUCGUAUGAUAGUAAUAUCGUGUGGGUUCAAGUCCCAUUACUCGCACCA